UUUAAAUGAAGACCAGAACAAAAGAUUAAACGUUUAAAUUWAWAUCUAUACGUAAAAUUUUCAACUUAUCCUAAAUGUAAAAAGACAKKKAUACAAAAGAAAGACGACAAGACCCUAUUGAAUUUGAAUUUAGUUAAAAUGGGGCAGUUAAUUAAUAAUUAUGGUCAUAAAAAUAAUAAAAAAAAUAAUCCAAUACAAUUGAAAAGAUCAAGUUACCAUAGGGAUAACAGCGUAAUAAUUUUCUAAAGAUCCUAUAAAAACAAUAGUUUGCGACCUCGAUGUUGAAUUAAUUACCUAAUUAGAGCAAAAACCAAUUAAGGAAGUCUGUUCGACUUUUAAACAAUUACAUGAUUUGAGUUCAGACCGGUAUAAGCCAGGUCGGUUUCUAUCUUCUACUACUAACUUCUUACAGUACGAAAGGACCCAAGAAAAUAA
This 435-nucleotide ribosomal RNA is filed under the name Selenops insularis. RNAcentral describes it as "partial 16S ribosomal RNA". The stretch from base 98 to 394 matches the Rfam family "Bacterial large subunit ribosomal RNA", at positions 2074 to 2646 of the family's 2925-position model. The record is from RNAcentral. Lineage: Eukaryota; Metazoa; Arthropoda; Arachnida; Araneae; Selenopidae.